This 107-nucleotide small nuclear RNA is filed under the name Microcebus murinus (gray mouse lemur). The record is from RNAcentral. Lineage: Eukaryota; Metazoa; Chordata; Mammalia; Primates; Cheirogaleidae.
GUGCUCACUUCAGCAGCACUUAUACUAAUAUUAGAAUGAUACCAAGAAAGUUAGCAUGGCCCAUGUGCAAGGAUGACAUGCAAAUUCAUGAAGAGUUCCAUUUUUUU